This is a long non-coding RNA of Equus caballus (horse), 2153 nucleotides long. The record is from Ensembl. Lineage: Eukaryota; Metazoa; Chordata; Mammalia; Perissodactyla; Equidae.
CUCAGCUCACCCACCUCACAUCAGGGGGAGGCGACCUCAGGACUCAAAUCACGUCCUCAAGUCUCUCCCUCUGAAAUUUCCAAAUGUUUGGUGUAGUUUGAUGUCAUUCUCUCUUUGUGCAGACAAGUCUUAUCCCAAUGUCUCCAGAUGGUUGGCCCCACAGAGGAAAAGGCAGCUUCUCUCUCCCACCAUCCACACGCUAUAGAUUUAUGGCUAAAACCAGUAAUGACCGCUCUUGCCCUGAGAGGAACAACCACACCUAAAUCGUUGAGGGUUGAGUAGUAGAUGUGAGCGAGCAGCGUACCAGACCUAGGAGGUUUAUCGAACCAAUAAGCAGAGGAAGUGACCAAAGUAUCACGGACCAGGUCAUCCUUUAGUAUUAGCCCUAGUUUAGGAGUGACGAGAGAGUCACGGUGGAGGCAGUUGUCGCCCGUCCCUCCCCUCGAAGUGACAAGUAAACAGACCGCCGUGGAGCAGCAGGCGUCCGACACCGCGCAGGGAACCCUGACGGACCCCACAGGAGCAGGAGGGGUGGGAACAGGAGAUACAGCCCGUGCCGCCCCCAGCGGUGGAAGGCGGCAUCCGCACCCAGGAGCAACAGGGACUUCAGCACAGCUGGAAACCCAGCCCCCAGUGGCGGCAACCCCACACCAGCUCCACCAGCAGCAGGGGCUGUAAGUCCGCCGUCUCCGCCGACAGUGACAGUGACACCUGUGAACCAGCUCCGCUGGCAGCAGCGCAGCCAGCACCCCAGGACAUCCCGGGAGCAGCAGUGCAGGUGGUGCUGGGCCAGCAGCUCCGAAGCCUGUGGAGAGCCAGUGGAGGAGCCCGAGAGCCAGCUGAGCAGACCCGAGUAACCAGAGACAGGAGCGACCCAAGGGCCUUCAAUGAUGAAGGGAUAAAGAUGCGGUAUAUGUAUACAAUGGAAUAGUACUCAGCCAUAAAAAAGACGAAAUUCUGCCAUUUGCAACCACGUGGACGGACCUUGAGGAUAUUAUGAUAAGCAAAAUAAGCCAGACAGAGACAAACACCAUAUGAUUUCACUCAUGUGUGGAAGAUGAACAAAGAGACACAUAGAUAAAGAGAACAGAUUAGUGGUCACCAGAGGAGAAGGGGGGUGGGGCGAGAGGGGUAAAGGGGCACACAUGUAUGGUGACCGAUAAAAGCUAGACUAUUGGUGGACAUAAUGCCGUCUACACAGACACUGAUGUGUAACAAUGUGCACCUGAAAUUUACACUAUGUUAUACGCCAAUAUGACCUCAAUUAUAAAUAAAUGAAAGACUGACUUUAGAACCAAAGACACAAAUAGGUCAAAAGUGAAAGGAUCGAAAAAGAUGUUCCAAGCAAAUAGUAACCCAAGGCAGCAGGGGCGCUUAGGCUCAUGUUAUGACAAAAUAGACUUGAUCUUUCUUCUGGACUGACCUGUGAUUGACACAUAACAUUGAGUAAGCUUAAGGUAUACGAUGUGAUGAUUUUAGACAUGCAAAGUGAUCACCACAAUGAAGUUAGUUAGCACUCCCUUCACCCCGCAGAAUUACCAUUUGUUGUUAUGGGGAGAACAUUUGAGAUCUACUCUCUCAUCCACUUUCAAGUAUUCAAUACAGUAUUGUCGGUUGUAAUCACCAUGCUGUACAGUAGAUCUCAGAAGUGAUUCCUCUUCUAACUGGCAGUUUGUAACCUUUGACCAACAUCUCCUCAUUUCCCGCACCCCCCAGCCCCUGGAAACCACAAAUCUACCCUUUGCAUGAUUUUGGCUUUUUUAGAUUCCACAUGUAAGUGAUAUCAUACAGUGUUUGUCUUUCUCUGUCUGACUUACCUCACUUAGUACAAUGCCCUGAAGGUCCAUCUAUGUUGUCACAAAGGCAGAAUGUCCUUCUUUUUGUGGGUGAAUAAUAUUCCAUGGUGUGUAUACAUCAAAUGUUCUCUAUCCGUUCAUCCGUUGAUGGACGUUUAGUUUGUUUCCGUGUCUUGGCUACUGUGAACAAUGCUGCAAUGAACAUGGGGGUGCAGACAUCUCUGUGAGAUAGUGAUUUCCAUUCCUUUGGAUAAAUACCCAGAAGUGACAUGGCUAGGUCACAUGGUAGUUCUGUUUUUAUUCUUUUGAGGAAACUCCAUACUGUUUUCCGAAGUGUCUGUACCAUUUACAUUCCCA